UACGGGAGGCAGCAGUGGGGAAUAUUGCACAAUGGGCGCAAGCCUGAUGCAGCCAUGCCGCGUGUAUGAAGAAGGCCUUCGGGUUGUAAAGUACUUUCAGUCGUGAGGAAGGUGUUAAGGUUAAUAACCUUAGCAAUUGACGUUAGCGACAGAAGAAGCACCGGCUAACUCCGUGCCAGCAGCCGCGGUAAUACGGAGGGUGCGAGCGUUAAUCGGAAUUACUGGGCGUAAAGGGCACGCAGGCGGUUAAUUAAGUUGGAUGUGAAAUCCCCGGGCUUAACCUGGGAAUGGCAUUCAAGACUGGUUAGCUAGAGUCUUGUAGAGGGAGGUAGAAUUCCAUGUGUAGCGGUGAAAUGCGUAGAGAUGUGGAGGAAUACCGGGUGGCGAAGGCGGCCCCUGGGACAAAGACUGACGCUCAUGUGCGAAAGCGUGGGGAGCGAAACAGGGAUUAGAUACC
Molecule: ribosomal RNA, 457 nt
Filed under: uncultured bacterium
Lineage: Bacteria
Description: bacterial SSU rRNA
Rfam family: Bacterial small subunit ribosomal RNA
Source: RNAcentral